Ictalurus punctatus (channel catfish) is the source of this 777-nucleotide long non-coding RNA. The record is from Ensembl. Lineage: Eukaryota; Metazoa; Chordata; Actinopteri; Siluriformes; Ictaluridae.
GAUUACUCAGUCGGAUACGCUCAUCUGAUUGAUCAGGAUCCAUACUGGAAAGCAGGUGUUGUUCCAGAGUCCAGGACGAGUGACAUGAAAGAGAAAGAGGAGCUGGACGAUAUUUUAAAUCUGGUGGAAGAAUUACAGGCUGAAGUUGAUGCCCGGAGGUUUCUGCAGCUAUCAGUCACCUAUUAAGACAGCUUGAGUGGUUGUUUCGAAGCCGGUCUAGGUCAGGCCGCAACAUACAAUAAAUUUUUAUCGCACAAUCUUUUUUUUAAACUUAUAUUUCAACUAUAUUCUCAGCUCUUCUUAUUUCAUACUUCUUGUGCUUGUCCACUCUUUUCCAGUCUCUGGCUGUAUUUCAAUUUUGUCAGUCUGACUCCAUGAGUACAUGUUUGUACUUGCUGAUAAGUGCUACUAUGUACACAAGAUAAUUUGCAGUGCACUGGAAGCAGAGGGUCCGGGCUCGCUCAUCCAGGCAGAAAUAAAAGAGAAGCCAGCCCUGCAGAUGUGAUAAUUGACUCUAGCUGCUGUGGUUAGAUGAGAGACAGAGAGUUAGAUGAGAGACAGAAGGCCAGAAGCAAUGCUGUGUGUUUCCAUUGUGAUCGUUGCUAUAAAAAUAAAAAAAAAUAAUAAAAACUCUCCCAAGGUGGAAAAAUAAUCUGCCAAACAAAAUGAAUCAAAAAGAUAGAGACUGAAUGCAGUCGAUACAAAAAAAAAAUCAUUUGUAAAAUAGACAUUUGAUUGAAUGACAGUUUAUAGUUUUUAUGUGUAUUGUAACCAUGG